This 22-nucleotide unclassified non-coding RNA is filed under the name Ascaris suum (pig roundworm). Its description in RNAcentral is "SL1-like trans-spliced leader sequence variant SL1b". Lineage: Eukaryota; Metazoa; Nematoda; Chromadorea; Rhabditida; Ascarididae. The record is from RNAcentral.
GGUUUAAUUGCCCAAGUUUGAG